RNAcentral lists this ribosomal RNA (425 nucleotides) under uncultured bacterium. RNAcentral's name for it is "partial 16S ribosomal RNA". It matches the Rfam family "Bacterial small subunit ribosomal RNA", at positions 354 to 796 of the family's 1533-position model. The record is from RNAcentral.
GUGAGGAAUUUUGCGCAAUGGGGGCAACCCUGACGCAGCGACGCCGCGUGGAGGACGAAGUCUUUCGGGAUGUAAACUCCUGUCAGUGGGGACGAUAAUGACGGUACCCACAGAGGAAGCACCGGCUAACUCCGUGCCAGCAGCCGCGGUAAGACGGAGGGUGCAAGCGUUGUUCGGAAUUACUGGGCGUAAAGCGUAUGUAGGCGGCAAGUUAAGUUCAAUGUUAAAGCCCACGGCUCAACCGGGGAGAUGCAUUGAAUACUGGCUAGCUAGAGGGUGGUAGAGGAAGACGGAAUUCCCAGUGUAGCGGUGAAAUGCGUAGAUAUUGGGAGGAACAUCGGUAGCGAAAGCGGUCUUCUGGGACAUACCUGACGCUGAGGUACGAAAGCGUGGGGAGCAAACGGGAUUAGAAACCCCUGUAGUCC